Molecule: ribosomal RNA, 251 nt
Filed under: uncultured bacterium
Lineage: Bacteria
Description: partial 16S ribosomal RNA
Rfam family: Bacterial small subunit ribosomal RNA
Source: RNAcentral
CUUUUGCUGGCGACCGGCGCACGGGUGAGUAACACGUAUCCAACCUGCCCUUUACUCGGGGAUAGCCUUUCGAAAGAAAGAUUAAUACCCGAUAGCAUAAUGAUUCCGCAUGGUUUCAUUAUUAAAGGAUUCCGGUAAAGGAUGGGGAUGCGUUCCAUUAGGUUGUUGGUGAGGUAACGGCUCACCAAGCCUUCGAUGGAUAGGGGUUCUGAGAGGAAGGUCCCCUACAUUGGAACUGAGACACGGUCCAA